Molecule: long non-coding RNA, 1684 nt
Organism: Oncorhynchus tshawytscha (Chinook salmon)
Lineage: Eukaryota; Metazoa; Chordata; Actinopteri; Salmoniformes; Salmonidae
Source: Ensembl
GAUUCCCGAAGCAUGCUUGGGUUUGACACUGUAGGUAGCCUUCUCCUUGGCUUGUCUGAAGCACUCCUCUGCCUUCUUCAGUCUGUAUCGCAGAAACACAACAUCACACAGCAGUCACAUAACACACUGCAGUCAGCUACCAUAUACAUCUGGGUCAUAGUGAAAACACACAAUCCUGUCCUGAUACCAGCCCCAUCAUCUAGCCAACCUUCCACCACCUUCAUACAAUGUUUGGGGCACCAUGGACAGAACAUCCAAAUAAACAGUAUAAUCCCACUUAAAAAGAUCCUGCAGGCCUUCAGCCAUGGCGGGCCGACACACUGAUCCUUCUACACAUGUAUUCAAGGUCAUGAGCCGCGGGCCCUGUGUGCUCCUGGAUGCUGAUUGGUUGUAAAGGGAUCCGGAAAGGAACUCCAUUCCCAUCAGGAACAGUGGCUCCCCAUUACGGAGGUGGAGCGGUCAGGACAAACCAUUCCCAUCAGGAACAGGGGCUCCCCAUUACAGAGGUGGAGCGGUCGGGACAAACCGUUCCCAUCAGGAACAGGGGCUCCCCAUUACGGAGGUGGAGCGGUCGGGACAAACCGUUCCCAUCAGGAACAGGGGCUCCCCAUUACGGAGGUGGAGCGGUCGGGACAAACCCCUCCCAUCAGGAACAGGGGCUCCCCAUUACAGAGGUGGAGCGGUCGGGACAAACCGUUCCCAUCAGGAACAGUGGCUCCCCAUUACAGAGGUGGAGCGGUCGGGACAAACCGUUCCCAUCAGGAACAGGGGCUCCCCAUUACAGAGGUGGAGCGGUCGGGACAAACUGUUCCCAUCAGGAACAGGGGCUCCCCAAUAGAGGUGGAGCACUCGGGACAAACCGUCCCCAUCAGGAACAGGGGCUCCCCAUUACAGAGCGGGACAAAGGCAGACAGGGACGAUGACAGGAGUUCAAUUAACCAGCCCUGUGAUGUCAAAACCCUGGUGAAAUGAAUAGCACAUAGAAUUAGAAAAAGGUUUUUUUACCAGAUAUUGUUCAUCCUGAUCAGACAGAUUACAAUUACUUCAAACAAUUGAAUAUUAUGAAAAAUCGAAGAUUAUCAAUCUGAUUAAGUAUGAAUAGAAUGUAUAUUUAAAUGCCUGGAUGACUUUACAUUUUGGUGAAUCUCUUAUACAGGAGAGAGGGGCGAGGGGGUUAAAGUUAUGUACAGCAACCCCAGAUGUAAAAUAGUAAAUAAAUGGUAACUUCUUAGAAAGUAUUGAACUUUUAAGAGGAGUAAAACAAGGAUGUCCGUUGUCUCCAUAUUUAUUUAUUAUGACCAUUGAAAUACUAGCUAUUAAAAUUAGAUCCAACAACAACAUCAAGGGGUUGGAAAUCCAAGGUUAAGAAACAAAAAUGUUACGUUUUUACUUAAGUCAGGAAUCUGGAUGCCUGCACAGUCUCAUUGAAUAUCUUGGUCACUUUUCUAGCCUCGCUGUACUAAAAACCUAACUAUAACAAGUGCACCAUAUUACGUAUUGGGAUCGUUAAAAAAGUGUUUACACUACUUUGUAGUUUCCCAAUAAAAUAGGCGGAUGGUGAAGCAGACAUACUUAUUCACAUCUCAAAAAAUAUAAAUUAACUACCACAAUCAAUUUCAAUAGAAAGGGUUAGGGUUAGUAUAUAUAAUAUAAAUUAACUACCACAAUCAAUUUCAAUAGAAAG